Molecule: ribosomal RNA, 465 nt
Filed under: uncultured bacterium
Lineage: Bacteria
Description: partial 16S ribosomal RNA
Rfam family: Bacterial small subunit ribosomal RNA
Source: RNAcentral
CCUACGGGGGGCAGCAGUGGGGAAUAUUGCGCAAUGGGCGAAAGCCUGACGCAGCGACGCCGCGUGAGGGAUGAAGGUCUUCGGAUCGUAAACCUCUGUCAGCAGGGAAGAACGGUCACUGUGCUAAUCAGCAGUGAAUUGACGGUAUCUGCAAAGGAAGCACCGGCUAACUCCGGGCCAGCAGCCUCGGGAAUACGGAGGGUGCGAGCGUUAAUCGGAAUUACUGGGCGUAAAGCGCUCGUAGGCGGUAUGGCAAGUCAAGGGUGAAAUCCCCGCGCUCAACGGGGGAACUGCCUUUGAAACUGGCAAGCUGGAGUGUGUGAGGGGAUAGUGGAAUUCCAGGUGUAGGGGUGAAAUCCGUAGAUAUCAGGAGGAACAUCAGUGGCGAAGGCGACUAUCUGGCACAUAACUGACGCUGAGGAGCGAAAGCGUGGGUAGCAAACAGGAUCAGAUACCCGAGUAGUC